Molecule: ribosomal RNA, 397 nt
Filed under: uncultured bacterium
Lineage: Bacteria
Description: partial 16S ribosomal RNA
Rfam family: Bacterial small subunit ribosomal RNA
Source: RNAcentral
AUACGUAGGUGACAAGCGUUAUCCGGAUUUACUGGGCGUAAAGGGCGUGUAGGCGGUCUUGCAAGUCAGAAGUGAAAUUCCUGAGCUCAACUCGGGCGCUGCUUCUGAAACUGCAGGACUUGAGUGCUGGAGGGGAUAGCGGAAUUCCUAGUGGAGCGGUAAAAUGCGCAGAUAUUAGGAAGAAUACCGGUGGCGAAGGCGGCUAUCUAGACAGUAACUGACUCUGAAGCGCGAAAGCGUGGGGAGCAAACAGGAUUAGAUACCCUGGUAGUCCACGACGUAAACGAUGAAUACUAGGUGUAGGGGUUAUAGACUCCCUCUGUGCCGCAGUUAACACAAUAAGUAUUCCGCCUGGGGAGUACGGCCGCAAGGUUGAAACUCAAAUGAAUUGACGGGG